CCCUUAGCAGAGACACCGAUUCCCGGAACACAGAGCCACGCCCUGUGGGUGUCGUAGAAGUGAAGUGACCUCUGCAGAGGACCGGGCCGCCUGGCUGGAAGAAGCGUCGUUUUCCUCCCACCUUCUCCAAGGAGUUGGACGGUGUCUCAAGCCCGAAGCAGCGGUCUGCGGGGUGCUGACAGGCUCACUCCGGCCCGUGGCCCCAGGACGGCACGAGCUCGGGGGGACACACUUCGGUCUGGUCCUUUUUUCGUCCUGGGCCCACUUCCAGCCCCAGGUGGAAAGCCUUAAAAUGACAUUUCCAUUGCUUUUCUUACAGAUGGCCAGGGAAGGUUUGAGAGAGGAAGCGGUGUGUGAUGAAGGUAAACGAACUAGCUGCAGAGGAGAGGAGGUGCUGUGCUCCCUCACCCGUCUCUGCUUCCCGCCUCACAGCUCCCUCUUGAAAGGACCUCUGCUCACACUGCGUCCAUCUGGACCAUCCACGCUAAGCGCUCCCCACCCCCAACCCACCAAGGCCCUUGGCUCAGUCAUGUAUGCAGCGUCCCUUUUCCAUACAAAGUAUGGUUCCCCCGGUCAGGGUGUGGACAUCUUGGGGACCAUUGUCCUGUCUCAUCCCCUGACUGCAGCAUGUGUGCUGAGCCAGGACAGGACCUGCUUGUGGACAAAACCAGGGAUGGGUUAUGGACCUGCCCCUCAGGGCCUAGAGUCCAAUAUAGUCAGUGACUUUAAAGUAAAGCCAAGUGCUAUGUGAUUGAGGUUCCUUGGCCGCAGGUCACCUGCCCCCUUUCAGAAGCUGCUGGAGUCCUCCUUCCUCCCUAGGGCCCAGCGUGGACAUGCCUCUAACCCCUCUGUGCAAAAUCCAUGCUUUCUCCUUGUGUGGCCUUGACACUGGGCUCAUAUUCCCAGUUCCUACCCCAUUCUGCGUGGUUCCCCGCACCUGCCUUGGUUGGUGAUAUUUUCCUGAGUCACCCUGGCAGCUAGAACCUUCCCCACCCAGUCAAACGCUCCUCACAGUGCCCCUGGGGUGCACCGGCACAUCAGACAGGUCACACCGCUCGCUCUAUGCCCAAUUGCCAAGUUAAAAGAGGACUAACGCCUUAAAACUUUGAAGGGGAGACUCAGCCAAGAAUGCGCACUCCUGCUCAGUUUGUAGAAACACGUGCCUGUCUGGAUUCCACGCCGACAGAGGACCUAACAGCAGGUGCGUUUGAAGAGCAGGCCCAGGGACAAGCCACCUACCCCCGGACUUCAGGCCCUUCCCCUGUGGCCCUGCUCAUGUCUAGAGGGCUUGUCAGAGAUGCCUCAGAUUACAUUUCUGUCCAACUAGUGGGCAAAACAGCAAACCCAUUCUCCUCUGGUUUGUUUGCAGAGGAGCCCAUAGGGCAAGCCACAUGACCAGCCAGCCAAGCCCACCUUCCAGAGCCUUGGCUGGUUCACCCCAUCAUCACACUAGUGUCCUCUCUUCCCAGGAAUUAGCCCCACGGUCUCCCAAAACAAUGGUUUAAAUCAAUUUGCAGAGCAUCUGCUUUAAUGAGCUAAGAGUGGGCUAACACCACAGACUCAGCAAGCUGUAGCUCCCAUUCUAUUUAGUCACCUCCCUCUGUGGAUUUAAAAUCCACCAGAGCUUCAGACCAAGGGGAAUGUCAUCAC
Bos taurus (domestic cattle) is the source of this 1650-nucleotide long non-coding RNA. NCBI's taxonomy places the organism in Eukaryota, Metazoa, Chordata, Mammalia, Artiodactyla, Bovidae. The record is from Ensembl.